GCGGGGCGCGCGGACAGCGCGCGGGGCCGGGGCGCGCCCCCGCGGGCCGGGGGCCUGGUCCUGGGGCCGGGGCCGGGACCGGGGCCGGGGCUGGGGCGAGCGGCCGGGAGAAGAGAGCGCGGCCGCCGAGGAGCGUCCCCGAGCGGCUCCCUGAGUCCCCGCCGGGCUCCGCUCCGGCCGGGCGGCGGCCGACAGCCGGCAGCUCGGCCCGACGGCAGCUCCUGGCUCCUGCCCCGGGCUGGACUCCGCGACUCGCUGCCCCGCGGAACCACGGCCUUUGCCGCUGGCAGGCGGCCGACACCGAACCGUCGCUGCCCGGAGACCGUCCCGCGGCGGGGGCGGGCGGUGCUGAGGGAGCCCGGCCCUGCUCGUGGCGCACCGGCCCGGCCGCACGGCGGGCAGACACACCUCGGGGCGGGCGCGGCGGGGGCGCACCGGUGCAGGAGACCCGCGGAGCCCUUCCCCGAGCGGCGGCCUCUCCCCAGAAGGGCUCUGCAGCCCGCGGCUCAGCCCGACGGAGCGCCCGGGGUGCCACCCGCCGUUCGGUGCUUCUCCCCCGACGGCCUCAGCCCCCGGGCCGGCUCCGCAGGCCGCCGAAGGGUCUGGGCCGUCGCGAGGGGACACUUGCAGCGUCGCCGGACCGGGAGCCGCGGCGGAGCGGCUCCGCAGCCCGGGAAGAGUGCACGUCGGGUGCGCUCGGCGAUGACUGAUGCAGCCCGCUCUCCCUCCCUCGGAAGGAUAAAUGUAAGCGAGCUGCAAAGUGUAGUUACUAAUAACAAUAACAAUAAAUUACCGUGCUGUUGCUCGGUAGCACAAACAAACGAUCGCCGUGAACCACGCGGUGUCUCCCCGCGCCUCGCAGCCGCCCCUCCCCGGGGACCGGCCCGUCCACCGCGGGCGGCUGGCGGGGACGGCCCGCCAACACCGCUGGGGCUCGGCCCGCAGCGGGCGGGGGCUUCACCUUGGCCCCGGGCAGGGACCCUUCUCGCCCGGCAGCCUCGUGGAGCAGGUGACCGGUCAGCGACGAGGCCGCAGCAGUGCCAGGGAGCAGGACCGGUGCUCAGGCGGCCCGGGGUGCAGCCGGCGGGUGGGUGGGUGGGUGGCCUGGAGCCGGCGCGGGCCCGCGCCCCGAGCCUGCAGUGAUCGGUGCCGG
RNAcentral lists this long non-coding RNA (1153 nucleotides) under Anser brachyrhynchus (Pink-footed goose). RNAcentral describes it as "lncRNA (ENSABRG00000022425.1)". Lineage: Eukaryota; Metazoa; Chordata; Aves; Anseriformes; Anatidae. The record is from RNAcentral.